Molecule: ribosomal RNA, 425 nt
Filed under: uncultured bacterium
Lineage: Bacteria
Description: partial 16S ribosomal RNA
Rfam family: Bacterial small subunit ribosomal RNA
Source: RNAcentral
GUGGGGAAUCUUGCGCAAUGGGCGAAAGCCUGACGCAGCCAUGCCGCGUGAAUGAUGAAGGUCUUAGGAUUGUAAAAUUCUUUCACCGGGGACGAUAAUGACGGUACCCGGAGAAGAAGCCCCGGCUAACUCCGUGCCAGCAGCCGCGGUAAUACGGAGGGGGCUAGCGUUGUUCGGAAUUACUGGGCGUAAAGGGCGCGUAGGCGGACAGCUUAGUCAGAGGUGAAAGCCCAGGGCUCAACCUUGGAAUUGCCUUUGAUACUGGCUGUCUUGAGUUUGGGAGAGGUGAGUGGAACUCCGGGUGUAGAGGUGAAAUUCGUAGAUAUUCGGAAGAACACCAGUGGCGAAGGCGACUCACUGGCCCAAUACUGACGCUGAGGCGCGAAAGCGUGGGGAGCAAACAGGAUUAGAAACCCUUGUAGUCC